Cygnus atratus (black swan) is the source of this 6893-nucleotide long non-coding RNA. RefSeq lists it as uncharacterized. The record is from RefSeq and is a predicted model, not a curated record. The transcript has 3 exons. NCBI's taxonomy places the organism in Eukaryota, Metazoa, Chordata, Aves, Anseriformes, Anatidae.
AUCUACCUACUUAAGCUGUGAGGUUUCCUGGGUAGCAAACUUCUGCAAGAGUUCUGUGAGCACAAAGACAGCAAGGGCCGGGCUUCUGGGGGCGCUUGGGUGCCGCUGCAUUCGAAACAGGCCCCGACGUGGUGAAAGCCGUACUACUCAGGGAGUAUCUAACUUCUCCAAACUGCUCAUGACAAAAGAAAAUAUAAACUGCAGUUUUAGAAAUCACUCAUAUACAGAACUACAGGUUUAAUUUGUAUGCAUCGUCAACCUUCAGACUUUCAACUUGUCCAAAAUGCAGACAGCUUUGUUUUGCAUCACGACUCUCUGUGGAGAUGCGCAGUGAAAAAACAAGAUGCAUCGGGCACAAACUGCAGCAAGAGAAAUUCCCAUUAAAUAUGAGGAAAAGUUUUUGACCACGAGUGCAGACAAACACUGGAAGAGGUUACCCAGACUGCGCAGUCUCCAUCCUCAGAGAUGUCCCAAACUCAAAGGGCAAGUCCCUGAGCAACCUGGUCUAAGUUAGCCCUGCUUUGACGAUGCAGCAUUUGGGUUACCCCCAGAAGUUUCUUCCAGCCCGUAUGACUCUACGAAUAAAUUAUUUGCAGUUAUACAUACAGUAUGUAAUCAAUUUUUCAGACCACGUUGAACGUUUUCAUAGUUUCACCACAGACAAAGUGAUUAAAGUUCCAGUUCUGUCCUUCAACGUAUCGAUGCAUUUUUAAAAACUAUUUCCAAACUCACGUCAACACGUUAUGAUAUCUUAGCUAUGUACAGAGAAAUCUUGAUCUUUGGGGAACUGCCGUAUUCAGAAUUACAUGGCAGUCUGUGAAGCACCCCCAGCUUCUUCAUUCCUAUUAAAGAAUUGUCUCAAACUUAUAGAUUACUGCGUGACUAUACCCAGGAAAGACUUUUAAAAUCCUGCAUCUACUCCAAAACAUUCUGCUCCUAAUAUUAAUGUCCUUUUGAAAUGAAUGAUUCAGAGCACAUACUGAUUUAAUACACGUAAGAACUAAUAAUUCUUUUAUUUUUAAAAGUACCAGUGAUGCUUCUGAUGUGGUUUUGGAAAAAAGGUGCAUCUGAAGCAGAACCUCCCUCACUGGUGGGUUUGUUUUUGCACAGUGAGCUCUGCUGCCAACGUAUUAACUUUUGAGGACUAAGCCACACACACGACGAUGCAUUUUACAGGCAAAGACUUCUCACCUCAAAGCACUGAGUAAACAAAGUUUUCCUUAACCGAUGCGACAAAACUACGCUGCAGAGUUUUGCUGGUGUAGUUAGCUCGGUAGGUUUUCACAGCUAGUUUAAGAAACUGCAAAGUUACCCAACGCACCAGGAAGCGUGAGGCAGCCAAGCCAGCUCAUUUUUCACAAACGGGACCCUAUUUCCGUGUCAGAAGAGAGAUUUUGUUCUGCUCACAGUGAGCUGGCUUUCUGUUAAAACUCCACCUUACUCCGUAAGCCUUCCUAACCAAGCAGAAACACAGAGACAUAGGCGUGUUGAAAGAGGUGUGGCUCCCUUCUGGUAUCACGUUUGACAACGCACAUAGUUAUGCUUAGCAUUUUAAGGAACAUGAGCAAUUUUUGCACUAAAACCCUGAUGUGCGAAAAUUUCCUACCAAUACUCUCCUUUCCUCACUGCACACACCCCUGUUUUCUAUCUCCGCACCAACACAGCUAUUUAACUCCUGUGCUUUGUAGUGAACAGGAUUCACACUGCAAAAGGAAAAAAAGAUAAAGCACCUACAGUAAACACGUCCUGGCGAGUCACCGAGAGGCACUGACUAUAGAGUACUAGAUUUCAUUACGAUUUUAACAGUCUUGUUUUUCAUGUGCUGCUAUUUGUUAAUGAGUAUUUACAUUACUAAAUGCAUCUUUUACAGGAAAAGCAGUAUCUUCCAUUAAUCAUUGCUUACAUUCAUGGAGAUAAAUUGUAGCUUUUAUACGCACACUAAUACAGUCAUGAAGAAACAUUUUUAUAUAUGCUUAUUAGUUUGACAUCGCCACAGGCAGAAAAGCAAUUUGUACAGAAAUUGGAACACAAUUAAACUGCAAAGAAUGGUUAUUAAACUUUUAGCCAAACUCGUUCAAAUAUGCUGAAUAAAUAAAUAGGUUUUGCAUUCAAGACUUAUUAAGAGAGGAUGCAGUAUGGAUAGGAAGGGAAGGGAAGUGAUGAUUUCCAAUUGCUACCUCACUUAAGAGUUCAGGAUUUCCACCUCUCACAUCUAAUUUUUAUUUAUAGACUGAAACACAAACAAACUUUUGUUUUUCCACUUGUCUGAAAGCUUCCUAACUUUCAGCAACCAAAGCCAACAGGACGGCCAUAAAACCCCGUGUCUCACCACAGCUCUCUUUAGGGCUGGAAAAUCCCAGGUGCAGUAACCUUCGCUGGCAAGAGCCCAGCUUCACACCUUGGGCUUUGCACAGUCUUACACACCGCAUCAACUACAGCUAGCUCUCAGACGUAUUUAUUUUUUAGCGCUUUUUACAAAUCACCCACACGGUAUCAUCACUUUGAAAGAUAUGCAAGGUUUCAAAAUCUUGUGCUAAAAUGAGAACCUAAGGAACAGAGCUGUGAUCGAAACCAGUUGCACAAUCUCGCAUGCUGAAAUAACAUUCUUUCUGGAAAGUGGCUCUUCUCUUUCCCUGCUUUUAGAGCUCCUUUACCUGAACCACGCACUACUGCCAGUUUAUUCCACUAUCCCAAUUCGUGCCCUUUCUGUAUUCUCCCUUACACCAAGCACAGCAAGUUUUAAACCUGAGUUAUGUUACAGCCGUGUUGAACUGGCUGCUAGGUGACACCAGCAAGUUGGUGCUGCUGCCACAGGAAUUACUUACUGCCUUCGCAGCACUGGAAUUCCUGACUACGCACAAAGCAGGACAGGAACUGAGUUUCCGAACCCGUGGUAUCACCAGAUCACUUAUCUCUUAUUUUGCUUUUAUAGCACUAUUAGGAGACCAGUACAGAAGAGUCUAUAUUUGUUCACCUUCUUCCCUCCUCGAAUUUCAGUAGUUCUGACCAGUGUUGUAGCUAUGUAUCUGUCAAAGUUACCUACAACCCGAUUGCACCACCACCAUCUAUACCAGCCUUUGAAGCUCUCCAUUUCUUAUCACGGAAGAAAGAUAUAUGGAGAGGCAAUAUGAUUUAUUCCCUGUGAACAUUAAUGUUUGUCUACCUGUCCUCCUGUAUUUGUAAUCACAGUCCCAGCUGGAUGGCUGAGAAGGGUGUGUUUUCCAAACGCUAUCCAGCAGGAGGAUCCCUUUAGCUCAGUGCUGCUCAAUGUCUCAGAUAAAAUUUAACUAAUUUCAUAAAUGUUAACUUCAAAAAAUUGUUUUAUUAUUCAUAUCAAGUGACAAUUGAGAGACCAGAAAUUAACCAAACUGAAGAAAUUCAAUUCAAGAUCUCCAUAUGCAUUAAGAAUUUGCACUUUCAAAUUUCAUUCCUUAUAGAGUAUUCAUUUAGUGACUCAAUCGAGGGCAAAUCUGUCCACUUAAAAUCACAGUAAUUUAACCAAAAAAUGCUUUAGUCUAAACCGAGGAAGUCUUCUACUUAAUCCACUUAGAGUGCACACUCUUAGUUUAAUACCAUCAGAAAACGAUUAUAGCUUUUAAGCAGUAAACAUUUUUAUUGUAAAAUGAUAGCAUAACUGAAAUGUAUCUAUGCUUUCAAGCACAUUGUUAAAAGGCUAUCCGACAUAACUUAAAUGAUGUAAUAAAACCCUUAAACAAGCCCAUGCCGUUUUGGGGACCCCAGUCUUUCCAAGCACUGGGUGGGAGCUGCCCAAUACAGAGAAUGCUCGUUUCAGAAUGGAUAAAUACAUCACACCUUGAUAUACCACCUGAGAGGUUCACACUCAAGAAAGCUAAUCCACGUACCUCUUUUGUGGAAAAGUAAAAUCUUGAGGUAUCAUAAGGUCUCCAGGGAUAUUUGCUUGCUUUUCCAUGAGCUUGCAGCAUUAGCCAUCUUUGUUUCAUUAGCCAAUAAAAUCUCUUGCCAGGCUUGGAAAAUUCCAAUCAUAUAGGACAAUCAAUUUUAUAUGAGACUGAAGUGGAUAAAAGAAUCAAUUUAAAUUUACUAUGGCAAAGCACUGAUUCUGUUUGUUUAUACCAAGGCAAGAGGAAUCUCUAGAAGGUCUGCACCCAUUCUGAGAGGAAAGAAAAACUGCAAUUAACAGACAGAAGAAAGUUCAGGACUUAACUCCAUCAGUCAUGCAGGUACAGUAUUAAGCACAGGCAGUGCUUCUCAGCUCACGGAGAGGCAAGAUGAAAGCGUCACCAUAAUUUACAUUAUUUGUCAGGACAAGAGGCAAUGGGCACAAACCAGAACACAGGAGGUUCCCUCUGAACACCAGGAAACACUUUUUUUAUUUUUAUUUUUUUAUUAGCUGUGCAGGUGACUGAGCACUGGCACAGGGUACCCAGAGAGGUCAUGGAAUCCUCCUUGGUGAUCUCCAAAAGCCACCUGGACGUGGCCCUGGGCAACCUGCUCUGGGUGGCCCUGCAUGAGUCAUUCUGUGAUGCCAAAAUAACUUGUAGUUGGAGUGUUUUUAAGCAUAUUCCCUAACAGCAACAUACGGGAUUAGGUUACUUGCAUGUUCUAGAAAGGAUACAAAGAACCAUGGACCAUCAUGUAUGUGAAUGUGAACCAUGUAGAGGACUAAAGCCUCUGGCUGGAAAGAAAUGGAGGGACCCUCAUGUUAUGCAUCUUUUGGCCUAUCAGCGGCUCUCUAGUUCUGAAACGUGGCCCUGUUAAUCCCAAACAUGCAAAAAAUCUGCCUUUUCAUAACCACUUAAGACAUUUUGGACAUCCCUCUAAGUUCAGAGAAGCUUGAAACAUCAUUUUUUGGUGUCCACAACCUUUCAGUCAUCUCAGAGCUUCUGCUGCCAGGAAAGCACACAUUUUUUGAUCAGAAACGAAUAAAACUGUGUGUUAUACGAAGACAGGGGCAGCGCACGCAAGCCACCACACCCCAGCUGUGAAGCAGGCAGCUGCCACGAAGCUGCCUCCAGGAGAGGAAGCCAAGGAGCGCCGAUAACUGAGGUCUCCAAGACACCCUGCUCCUUGAGAGGCUUGCCGUAAAAAUCACUUUCGACCCUCCGUUUUCCUGCUCAGCAACUGGUGGGGAGAAACUCCAGGGAGAAUGGAAGUGGCUCCAUGAACGAGCUGAAGAAGAGAGAGCACAGCUGGAGCACAAUGAACUCAAUUCAGCGAGGAUGGAGCGCAGAAGGGAGUGAAGGAAAAGCAACAGGGAAAUUCCUGAGGUUGGAACGGGAAGGCUGGGAAGAGAAGAGAGGACCAGCAGAAAGCAGCAAUGGUGCUAGGACAAAGCAAAUAAAGGUGAGGAAAGCAACGGAGCUGGACCAUUGCUCUCCCCAGCCAUUGACUUCUUAUAGGACUAGAGCAGCCAAGAGUUUUUGAAGAGCUCCAUGAGAAAGCACACAAAUUCUUUUCCUUUCCUCUCACUGAGCCUGGUUCCUGUUUAUAUUUUUAAUUAUUCCCUUCUGAAAAAGGAAAGUGUAGUUUUCUAGCUGGAUUUAUUUAUAAGGGGACAUUGUUUGGCCAUUUUAUUUUUCAACAGGAAAUGGCAAAUGUGCUGAUUUGUAUAAUGAAGUUGAGAUUCACUGGAGGAGUCCAAAUUCCUUUUUCUUUUGCUCUCUAUGGAAGUGAAUUUCUUAUGAAGAUAAAAUCUCAGUAAAGAUAAACCAUACAAGCAGAUGUGACUGAAGGGCUGAGAAUUUCUGUGCCUAUCUAGAGAAAAAUGUCUCAGAAGCAAUGUUACUUCAUGCUGCACAAUGGCAUGGGGCCUUUAUUUUUGAUUUUAUGUCACAUAUGAGAAGAAACAGUAUAAAGAGGUGAUAGGAUUUUUAAGUAAAGAAAUGUAAUUGUAUUUUUGGUAGUUUGGUCCCUGAAUGAUUUCUGAAAUUAGUACUUGAGUUUACUUGCUUCUGACCUCAAUAAAAGUUCUGAAUGGUAAAUACUUCUGGAAAUCAGGACAAUGUCCAAAUAUUGAUGUGGGAAUGUAACUUCAGUCAUCUGCUUUUAAAACAGGGUUUGCAAUAUCAGAAGUAACUUGUGAUUCUGAUUCACCCCUUUUGAGAUGCCAUUAUGCUUCCAAUAAGAGGCAUUAUUCAACCAUUGGUGACAAAGGGUGUCUUUACAGGACACCCUCAAUUGCAGAGACAAAGUCAUUAUUAGAAAAGAUAACCCUUUCGUUUCAGGGUUAGUAACUUCUUAGUUGGACAAGAAUAUUUCUGACUCAGGAUAUAACAGUGUUAAUAUUUUGAAACUCAUGUUUUUGUUCUUUUAGUGUUUGCUGUGUUCCAGAAUCUGCUUUAGAUAGUCAGUGUGUGUGUAAAUAGGAUGAGGCCUGCACUGACACUGGGUGAGCAGAAGAAGGCUGUAACACCCUCAUCUCUCCAGGUGACUAAUGGCUGAAUGAACUGCUAGCAGAAAAUGCAGCCAACAUGCAGUCCAGUUCAGAGUAGUUUCAGAUGAGUGUCUGCUGCCCAACUGGCUCUUCCACACUUCACACACUAUUGCAUGUUACUGACUGAGUGGACUUGUGAAAUGUAAAUGGCCUAUUUCUAUUCUCUUUAAAAAUCAGGCAUUUCUUCUGAUAGUGAAAAUAGGUCUGAUGUGAACCGGGAUUGCAGUAGGUUGCAAUGAGGAUCCCGCGAAAGGCACAGAGAUCCCAAUAAAGAAGGUCUGUCAGGUUACAAAUCCCAGCAGCUCAGAUCAGCUUUCUUUUCUUUGUUUCAGUAUGAACUUCCCAAUAAAUGGGAUCUGAGGUUCGUCAAAGUCUGUAACAUUCAGUCUUGCAGGAAAACAAAUUUUGGAAAAAAGAAAAAAGAAAAAAUUUCCAUCUCUCAUGUUUUAUAUAGCUCCUAGCACCAGGCAUCUGCUCA